UUUUUGUUCGCAGAGCACAAAAAACAAACAUUUUUCCAAGGAAUUGUAUACAUAUUGAGGCGACUUAAUUAGAAUCGGAGAUUUUUUUCUUCUGACCGGUAACUUCGUUAGGAUCAAAAAUAUUGUACCCGACGCAAAUUCACGUCAGUUAUUUUGGAACCCAUGGAGUAUUAUAAAUAUCUUAAUUAUCUCGCCAUCGUCCUCUAUUGAUUGAUUUAAUUCAGUGACCUUAACAAACCCACUCAUCCCCUGACCUUGAACAAAUCUACUCAUCCCCAAAUGUCGCGAUCUGCAAUCGAUCGAUCCCACGCCACGUACCACAUGGAAACCUCCGCGGCGGCCGCCGGCAACUACUCUCGCUGGGUCUUAUUCGACGACGAGCAGACUCGUCCCUUCGACGCGGUCCAGUACCCCGCCGACGCCAAGACGGCGGCGCACGCGUACACCUCCGCCGGCUACUCCGUCCGCAUCUCCUUACUCCUCGCCGCGCCGCCGGCGGUGUCGCGCCUGGAACUCCACGUCGACAGCCCCGCGGACGUGCUCCUGGAGACCUACCGCGCCAACGUCGUCGCGGCGCACGGCGACUCCGUCCUCAUCAGCGUGAUCACGAUCACAUCCACGACGGGGCGGAGUGCGCACCGGGUCGGCAGCGACUACUUCGUCUACCGCGCCGUCGCUGUCGCUUCUCCCGCCUUGCUACUACGUCCAGGAUAUCUUCGCGCGCGAGGAUGCAGUGGAAGGAGCUGCGGACCAUGUGCUGGAAAACCACCGGCAUCCUCCGCGGCGAGAGGGAGGAGCUGGUGGUGGCGGCGAGCCUGGAGUUCUCCUCCAAGACGUCGCGGGAAGCCGAGAUGUGCGUGCUCCGCUCCUCGGGCGAGUGGGAGUGGCGGACCGAGCGCCUCUCGCUCGGGAAAGGAGACCAGCUUCCCGCUUGCGCUUCUGCCGGGCAAUGGCGGACCGACAGGGUGGUGCCCGUCGCCGGCCGGUUCCUCUACUGGGUCGACCUGCGCGUCGGCGUCCUCUUCUCCGACGUCACGUCUAGAUCGGACGAGCUCAGGUUCGUGCCGCUGCCGGUGGACCCCAUCCUCCGCCGGCGCGAGGACUGGGAUGAUAGUCCUCCCGAGUCGUCGUCCCGGAGCCUUUGUUGCGCCACCGCCGGCGCGGUGAAGUUCGUCCACGUCGCACCCCGCUGCUGCUGCGGCGGCCCCGGCGCCACCCAGUGCGCGCUCUCCAAGCACGCCUUCACCAUCACCGCCUGGACCCUGAGACCGCCGGAUGCGGUGGCGGGGUAUCAUUAUUGGGAGAAGGACGCCGUGGUGGACUGCGGCGAGCUCUGGACGCUCCACGCUUACCGCCGCCUCGGCAUUCCGCGCCUGCGCAUGGAAUUCCCUGUCCUCAGCGCCGACGACCCCGACGUCGUCGUCUUUCUCGUGUCCGAGCUCCGCCACGUCCAUGCCCGCGACGGCGACAAGACGACGACGUGGGCGGUCGCCGUCGACACGAGGACCAAGUCGCUAGCCGGAGCGGCCGUGCUCUGCUCCUCCUCGGGCGAGAACUACAACGGCAAAGAUUUCCUUCCCAGCGAGGUCUCCAGCUACUUCAACCCUUCUCCUCCGGCUGCAGCGAAUCGCCGGCGUACAGAAGAUGACAUCGGGGCGCCGGCGCCGGCGAGCACAAGCUGCGUGGACGAUUCAGCUCCUCCCGAUAACGAGGAGAUCCUGGCGGCGAUUCGGGAGAUCCCCGGGCUGGAUCAUGAAGAGAGGAUGAGAGCUUACGGCGUGAUUGCUUGCGGCCAUGAUCGCCGCAGGCAGCGGACUCUGCUGGCGCUGCCCGUGGAGAUGAGGAAGGAUUAUUGCUGCAUGUUGAUGGACAUUGUCGCCAACAAUAAAGUUUAAUUUUGAUGCAAAUAAUUCAAUCACAAAAUAAAGGUCCCUCGAAUGAUUCUGAUGACUAUAGAACAGUAUUUCACGGGUCAGCGUACCAAAUUUUGUAUGUACAACUCCUCUUCUCUUCAUAAAAAACUUCAUGCUGUCCUGAAUUCAGAAUAGAAAGAAAUUUCAAGA
Molecule: RNA transcript, 2063 nt
Organism: Brachypodium distachyon (stiff brome)
Lineage: Eukaryota; Viridiplantae; Streptophyta; Magnoliopsida; Poales; Poaceae
Exons: 1
Source: RefSeq, a predicted model, not a curated record